This 263-nucleotide ribosomal RNA is filed under the name uncultured bacterium. RNAcentral describes it as "partial 16S ribosomal RNA". It matches the Rfam family "Bacterial small subunit ribosomal RNA", at positions 793 to 1055 of the family's 1533-position model. The record is from RNAcentral.
GUCCACACCGUAAACGUUGGGCGCUAGGUGUGGGAUCCAUUCCACGGGUUCCGUGCCGUAGCUAACGCAUUAAGCGCCCCGCCUGGGGAGUACGGCCGCAAGGCUAAAACUCAAAGGAAUUGACGGGGGCCCGCACAAGCGGCGGAGCAUGCGGAUUAAUUCGAUGCAACGCGAAGAACCUUACCUGGGUUUGACAUACAGGAGUUAUCCGGCAGAGAUGUCGGUGCCGUAAGGAUUCUGUACAGGUGGUGCAUGGCUGUCGU